AUGGCUGUCGUCAGCUCGUGUCGUGAGAUGUUGGGUUAAGUCCCGCAACGAGCGCAACCCUUAUUUCAUGUUGCCAGCGCGUAAUGGCGGGGACUCGUGAGAGACUGCCGGGGUCAACUCGGAGGAAGGUGGGGAUGACGUCAAGUCAUCAUGCCCCUUAUGUCCAGGGCUUCACACAUGCUACAAUGGCCGGUACAAAGGGCUGCGAUGCCGCGAGGCUUAGCGAAUCCUUUAAAGCCGGUCUCAGUUCGGAUCGGGGUCUGCAACUCGACCCCGUGAAGUCGGAGUCGCUAGUAAUCGCAGAUCAGCAACGCUGCGGUGAAUACGUUCCCGGGCCUUGUACACACCGCCCGUCACACCACGAAAGCGAGCAACACCCGAAGCCGGUGGCCUAACCCGCAAGGGAGGGAGCCGUCGAAGGUGGGGCCCGUGAUUGGGGUGAAGUCGUAACAAGGUAGCCGUAGCGGAAGCUGCGGCUGGAUCACCUCCUUUCUAGGGAGAAUUCAGAAGUAAUAUUCAUCCCGAUGUCGACCGGGCUCUAGGCAGAACGAUUCGUCGUCCUGCCACACGCUGCUCAGUUUUGAGAGACCGCCGGCGCGAAGCCCGCGCCGUUGCGCGCCUCGGUGGACCUUGAAAACUGCACAAGACAAUUGGGUACAGUCUGAUCGCUUCGGUGAUCAGGCUGCUUAAUAACGUUCCGGACGGUUUCGGCCGACCGGAACGCUCACCGUCAAGAUAUUAAGAGCAUGUGGUGGAUGCCUUGGCACCAGGAGUCGAUGAAGGACGUGGACGGCUGCGAUAAGCCGCGGUUAGGCGCUGAACAGCCAUUGACCCGCGGAUUUCCGAAUGGGGAAACCCGG
This 860-nucleotide small RNA is filed under the name uncultured Mycobacterium sp. RNAcentral's name for it is "bacterial SSU rRNA". The stretch from base 1 to 492 matches the Rfam family "Bacterial small subunit ribosomal RNA", at positions 1045 to 1533 of the family's 1533-position model. The record is from RNAcentral. Lineage: Bacteria; Bacillati; Actinomycetota; Actinomycetes; Mycobacteriales; Mycobacteriaceae.